ACUUAGAAGUGUCUUUUGCAAUUUCAAAUACAACCAGGGAGUAAGAUGUAAAGUAUUGGUAAAAAACAGUUUAUUUUAAGUAGUAAACCUUGUUUGUAUUUAUAAAGUACAAUUUUGCCACUAAUUAGGCCCAUUCAAAAUUCAAAAAAAUUUAAGCACCCAUUCUAGGGAUCUCCCAGUUGUAAAAAUUCACCUUUCCACAGCCACCUUCUUACACGGAAGUAAAGGUGGCUAUCCGCAGGGAGCGUUAACUUUGACACAUGGUCACGUGGUACACUGUGGAUGUUUGUGGGACGAUCUUAUGUGUAUUCCUUAUGGGUGAUUUGCAAAAACAAGAGAUUAUUUAAAAUAUUACUAUUAAUUUUGUACAAUUGUAUCAAUACAUCACAAGAAAUUCGCUAUAAAUACUAUAUAUGGUAGAAAAUGUCUGAUAUAAUACAUAAAUAUAAUUUCGAUAUACAAACUUAGGAAGAGAUUUUUAGGUUAACAGCCGAAAUGUGAGGUUACGGCUGUCAAGAAGGACUUCGUAAAUGUAAACAAAAGUUGCAAAGCCAGAAUUUGCCCAAUCUCAAAGCCUUUUUAAUUCCUAUAAAGUUGAAAUGUUGCUUCCUCUGCUUAAGUAUACUGUUUUUAACAUAAUACCACCAUAAUUCGGUCUUAAAUUUGUAUGAAAUAUAGUUUUUUUAGUGAUAUUCACCAAGCAAAGUUUACAAACUUUUGUGAACCAUUCUAUUUUGUAUAAUAAAAAUGGUAAUGUGCUUUGCCCCGGAUUGUACACAAUAUUGUGAAAGAGGGAUAUGUAGAUUCUUUGUUGUUCCCAGGAUCUGGUUGAAAAGAAGACAUUGAUUUCAUUACUAAGGCACCCAGGAGAAGGGCAUGGCCCUAACCCUCAAAUAUGAGUAUUAUAGAAAAUUAACAGUUACCCAGGCAACCAUCCAAUGAGAAUCGUAGGAAAAUUAACAGUUCCACAGACAAUCAUCCAGUGACCACAUUGUCUCUUUUUGGACAUACCAUCUGACGCUUUCUGAAGAUCUUGGGGUGUAAAUAACCCAGGACAGCACCGGAAGAAGCCGUCAGACCACAGGCUAAAUUCCUUAUUAAAAUCUAUAGCUUGCCUAUAAACAGAGACAGACUAUUUUUAUAUAAAAUAACUUCAUUAGUUCUAAAAUGUAGAUCUUGAAUUGUGACCAUAAUAAAAUGAGAAAAUAAAGUGUUUAUACUGAA
This is a long non-coding RNA of Diabrotica virgifera virgifera (western corn rootworm), 1224 nucleotides long. RefSeq lists it as uncharacterized. The transcript has 2 exons. NCBI's taxonomy places the organism in Eukaryota, Metazoa, Arthropoda, Insecta, Coleoptera, Chrysomelidae. The record is from RefSeq and is a predicted model, not a curated record.